This 274-nucleotide ribosomal RNA is filed under the name uncultured bacterium. RNAcentral describes it as "partial 16S ribosomal RNA". It matches the Rfam family "Bacterial small subunit ribosomal RNA", at positions 523 to 796 of the family's 1533-position model. The record is from RNAcentral.
AUACAGAGGGUGCGAGCGUUGUUCGGAAUUACUGGGCGUAAAGCGCGUGUAGGCGGCAUCGUAAGUCGGAUGUGAAAGCCCUCGGCUCAACCGAGGAAGUGCAUCCGAUACUGCGGAGCUUGAGUCCUGGAGGGGGUGGCGGAAUUCCCGGUGUAGAGGUGAAAUUCGUAGAUAUCGGGAGGAACACCUGUGGCGAAGGCGGCCACCUGGACAGGUACUGACGCUGAGACGCGAAAGCGUGGGUAGCAAACAGGAUUAGAUACCCCUGUAGUCC